AAGCCAUGCAUGUCUAAGUAUAAGCGAUUAUACGGCGAAACUGCGAAUGGCUCAUUACACAAGUUAUCGUUUAUUUGAUAGCACCUUACUACUUGGAUAACCGUGGUAAUUCUAGAGCUAAUACAUGCUGAAAAUCCCAACUCCGGAAGGGAUGUAUUUAUUAGAUUCAAAACCAAUGCCCUCCGGGCUCACUGGUGAUUCAUGAUAACUUCGCGGAUCGCACGGCCUUGUGCCGGCGAUGGUUCAUUCAAAUUUCUUCCCUAUCAACUUUCGAUGUUUGGGUAGUGGCCAAACAUGGUUGCAACGGGUAACGGAGGGUUAGGGCUCGACCCCGGAGAAGGAGCCUGAGAAACGGCUACUACAUCCAAGGAAGGCAGCAGGCGCGCAAAUUACCCAAUCCCGACUCGGGGAGGUAGUGACAAUAAAUACUGAUACAGGGCCCUUUCGGGUCUUGUAAUUGGAAUGAGUACAACUUAAAUCCC
This 482-nucleotide ribosomal RNA is filed under the name Laodelphax striatellus yeast-like symbiont. Its description in RNAcentral is "SSU rRNA". It matches the Rfam family "Eukaryotic small subunit ribosomal RNA", at positions 46 to 533 of the family's 1831-position model. RNAcentral also lists the same sequence under 1 other name. Lineage: Eukaryota; Fungi; Ascomycota. The record is from RNAcentral.